RNAcentral lists this ribosomal RNA (425 nucleotides) under uncultured bacterium. RNAcentral describes it as "partial 16S ribosomal RNA". It matches the Rfam family "Bacterial small subunit ribosomal RNA", at positions 354 to 796 of the family's 1533-position model. The record is from RNAcentral.
GUGGGGAAUAUUGGACAAUGGGCGCAAGCCUGAUCCAGCCAUGCCGCGUGAGUGAUGAAGGCCUUAGGGUUGUAAAGCUCUUUCAGUAGGGAAGAUAAUGACGGUACCUACAGAAGAAGCCCCGGCUAACUUCGUGCCAGCAGCCGCGGUAAUACGAAGGGGGCUAGCGUUGUUCGGAUUUACUGGGCGUAAAGCGCACGUAGGCGGUUUGUUAAGUCAGGGGUGAAAUCCCGGAGCUCAACUCCGGAACUGCCUUUGAUACUGGCAAGCUAGAGUCCGGAAGAGGUAAGUGGAACUCCUAGUGUAGAGGUGGAAUUCGUAGAUAUUAGGAAGAACACCAGUGGCGAAGGCGGCUUACUGGUCCGGAACUGACGCUGAGGUGCGAAAGCGUGGGGAGCAAACAGGAUUAGAAACCCGUGUAGUCC